Molecule: long non-coding RNA, 2804 nt
Organism: Oreochromis aureus
Lineage: Eukaryota; Metazoa; Chordata; Actinopteri; Cichliformes; Cichlidae
Exons: 3
Source: RefSeq, a predicted model, not a curated record
UAGCAUGUGUGUUGUACCUCAUCAAUCUCUAGCUGUGAGAGCAAUCCCUUCUUCUGAAUGUUGGAACAUAUAUAUAUAUAUAUGUAUAUACAUAUAUACACAUAUAUAAGAUAUAUAAAGCCUAUAAAGCAUGAAGUGCCUGUGUCAUCCAGGGAAGGACUGACUCUAUUGAAAGUUUUGUUUGGUAUGUUUACUGUGUUUUAGUGUGGAGUGUCUUUAUUUAUAUUUUUUGUAUUGCAUGUUUUGGUUACAGUUUAAAAGGGAUAGGCCAAAUAAGAAGAUGGAGGAUAGACUGUUGGAGCCAAAGCCAAGGACCACUGAGCAGAUGGGUAUGGACAGUGUGCGCAGGUAUGAGUGUUUGGCCACAAGAAGAGUGAAUAAGGAAUGUCCAACCUAGGUUAUCAUGGGAGGUCAGCUGCAGGGUUGCGGGACGUGGGGUAAUGGUUUGCUGCUAGGCAGCAGUGCUUGGGAUUAAGCACGAACCCAGGUUAGGCCUGGAAGUAUCCCCACAGUAGCAGCUAGGUGCAGUUUAGGACCUAAUGGCUUCCGGGUAGCUAUGCUAUUGGAACGUGAAAUGGAUUAUUUUGUGGCAUGGGACAGAAGGGCGCAUAUCAUUAUACUUCUGCUCAGGUUUAAUAGAACAGAAAUUGGGACUCCAAUAAGUCUGCAGAAUGUCGCUGAUACUACCAGAAUUAUGGGACUGGAAGCUGUGCCGUAGCAGGGACUGCUAACGUUUUAGUGUGGGGGGACGUCAUCCAGGGAAGGACUGACUCUAUUGGAAGUUUUGUUUUGUAUGUUUAUUGUGUUUUAGUGUGGAGUGUCUUUAUUUAUAUGUUUUGUAUUGCAUGUUUUGGUUAUAUUUUUGUGGAGUGUUUUAUUUAUGUUGCAUGUUUUAUUGAAUAUAUUAACUUCCCCUGGAGAGACUCCGCCCACUUCUAAUCACAAAUCAGAUACACCUGGGAAAGCACAGAGGUGGAUAAGAGAGCCUGCCAGACUGCUGGGAAAGAGGCUCGAGGAGGCCUGUGAGACAGAGCGGCAGAGAUGGCUCAGUGAAUGGGGUCAGGCGGCGGCGCCUGCAAGCCCGUAGACGGGCUGGUGUAGGUUGGCGGCGGUGAGUUACAGACAGUGCUGAGUGACACAUACACACUGGUGGAGCUUGGCGUCAAGCGGGCAGCAGGAUACGACGCCAGAUCACGCUUCUGUGGGGAAUUAGAGGUGGCGAGAGAGUGCUCUACCUCCGCGGCGAGACGGGCCGGUGCCGAUUGGCGUGUUCAAGGAAGCGGCGGGCAGAGUUGAGAGCUCUGCCCACCCGGGGUAAGUCUUCUGACUUAUCCCACUCUAACAAACGGCACCCGCUAAAAGAGUAGUGACUGUCGCUGCCCUUUUUUGUUUUGUUUAGCAUGCCGGAGCAGAGAAUACGGAUAGGACGGCGAGGACGCCGCCGGGUUUCCCCCUUCUGCACCGCUUCACUGAAUUUUUAAUUCUUAGUGACUUUUAUACCGUGGCGGUCGCCACUGGACUUUUAAUGUUGUGUUUUAUUGAUUUUUAUUGUGUUGUCCCCUGGCCAGGGCUGUUUUAAUUCCUUUUAUAUUUUUAACUGUUUAAAUAUAAUAAAUUAUAUUUUAGAAAUACAGUUUUUAAUUUAGUGCAUUCCCUUGGCUGCUCCACUGCUCUGUCCGUUUUGAGGAAGGUUUCCCUCCUUUUAAUAACACUUGUGCUAAAAUCACCUUCCCUCCGUUACACCUGUAUGGUUUCUCAUUUCAGGAUUUAAGGCCAGGUUCUUACCUUCCAGUUAGAGAAGACACAGAAGCUGAGAGCAGUGAUUGGCGAGUGUCUGGCCCAAAGCAACUGCUCUCUGCUCACCAGAGUGCGAGUGCAUGUGUGUGGGCGCUGUGAAUCCCCCCCAUCACCCCCCUUUUUUAAGUAGGCAGGGAAGAGCUAAUUAGCCAAUGAUUGCUACAUGACAGUUAGAACACACCUAUACUGGAAAAACUGAAACUAUGAUACGUUGGAAACCAAUUGUCAGUAUUCCCAUGGUGGAAAAACUGAAUAUAUGAUGUGAUGUUAUAGCCUGGGUCUAAGGACCCAGGGCUCAUGUAUUUUUUGUAUAUGUUUAUUUUUCCGUAUGUUUUGUUUUGGUGGUUUUCUCUCCUUUUUUCCUCCUUCUUCCUGUGUGUGUGGUCCAGCGUUUGGGUCCUCAACUCCACGGUCUGCCAUCGUUGACCGUGACAGUGAUAACAACUAUGACUAGAAGCCUGGAGUCAGUCUUAGGUGGACAUCAGCAUCGAGCUCAUACAGUAGGGGUGUUCAGAGUGGAUCAGCACAGCAAACUCCUUCCUCCUGUGAUGCCAGCUCACAGUGCGGUGAUGCAACAGGAUCCUCGUCAGUUGAGCGAGGCUAGUAUUGCUGCCCCUCCUCGACCGCCACCUCCCAACCUGAAAGUGCUUAGAAAAGGCCAAAGGACACCACGAUUAACCAAGGCCAGGGCAACGUGUUGCCCUAGCAAAUGGUUCCCUCCGUUCUAGAACAGACACAACCCCAGCCUCAGCAGGUUGUCGGGGGUGCCAGCCUCGCCAAAAUGGCCCAGCGGGCACGCUCUACCCCACAGCUGGAUGAGUACUCAGACAGCAGGAGAGAGAUCAGGAGCGAAUAAGAGAACAGGACAAAGUGCCUCAGAACACAAGAGAGGGUCUCAUUGCACACGUUAUGGAGGCGGUACAUGGCGCGACCAUGGAGGAGGUUCAUAAAGCACUACAAUGAAAUGACUGGAACCCAGUGCGAGCUGAACAGCAACUAAAGGUCAG